Molecule: transfer RNA, 65 nt
Filed under: Oxya hyla
Lineage: Eukaryota; Metazoa; Arthropoda; Insecta; Orthoptera; Acrididae
Also listed under: 1 other name
Description: tRNA-Ile
Source: RNAcentral
AAUGGAGUGCCUGAUUAAAGGAUUACUUUGAUAGAGUAAAUAAAGUAAAAAUAUUACCUCCAUUA